CGGGGCUACGCCUGCCUGAGC
This 21-nucleotide microRNA is filed under the name Gallus gallus (chicken). RNAcentral's name for it is "microRNA Ros-gga". Lineage: Eukaryota; Metazoa; Chordata; Aves; Galliformes; Phasianidae. The record is from RNAcentral.